CCUACGGGAGGCAGCAGUGAGGAAUAUUGGUCAAUGGGCGGAAGCCUGAACCAGCCAAGUAGCGUGCGGGAUGAAGGCCCUACGGGUCGUAAACCGCUUUUGCACGGGGAUAACACCCUCCACUUGUGGAGGUCUGCAGGUACCGUGCGAAUAAGGGCCGGCUAAUUCCGCGCCAGCAGCCGCGGUAAUACGGAAGGCCCGAGCGUUAUCCGGAUUCAUUGGGCUAAAAGGGAGCGUAGGCGGGCGUUCAAGUCAGCUGUAAAAUCGCGCGGCUCAACCGCGCCCCGCAGUUGAAACUGGACGCAUUGAGUUCACAACAGGCAGGCGGAAUUCGUGGGGUAGCGGUGAAAUGCAUAGAUAGCACGAGGAACCCCGAUUGCGAAGGCAGCCUGCCGGGGUGCGACUGACGCUGAGGCUCGAAGGUGCGGGUAUCAAACAGGAUUAGAUACCCGAGUAGUC
This 459-nucleotide ribosomal RNA is filed under the name uncultured bacterium. RNAcentral describes it as "partial 16S ribosomal RNA". It matches the Rfam family "Bacterial small subunit ribosomal RNA", at positions 338 to 795 of the family's 1533-position model. The record is from RNAcentral.